CAUUGGUUGGAGAGUUUGCGUCAAAAAGUUGCCAGAGAGGCGCUUUCUCAGCAAAUCUCCCUGAGAGCGGAACCGACCUCAGCUCCAACUCAGCCUCCACCGUUAUUAAAAAUAAAAAUCGCUAGAGAAGCCCUCCUCAAGUCUACUUUGUAUGUAUCGCAGAGGGGCCCACGCGCGUCUCGAACUUGAACGACUUUCCUCGUUUUCUUUUCUUUAGAAAAAUAUUUUUCGUUGUUUGACUUUUUAUGGAACGAUGAAGAUUACAAGAUAUCUAACUCAAUACUCUUGAUUUCUUUUAGGAUAGCUGGCUAUUUGGAAUUUUGAAGGAUAAUUUGAUUUUUUUCCUCUAACCCCCCAUGUGGCUGUAAGUUCCACCACUCCAAACCCACCCACCAAGGACUCUGAAUCUGUCCAACCCGGGCGAAGCGAGACCUUCCGGCUGGGUCCCCCGGAUUUGGGCCGACUUUGCGCCUCCAAACAACCUUAGCAUGAUGUCUUAUCUUAAGCAACCGCCUUAUGCAGUCAAUGGGCUGAGUCUGACCACUUCGGGCAUGGACUUGCUGCAC
RNAcentral lists this long non-coding RNA (566 nucleotides) under Capra hircus (goat). RNAcentral describes it as "lncRNA (ENSCHIG00010008649.1)". Lineage: Eukaryota; Metazoa; Chordata; Mammalia; Artiodactyla; Bovidae. The record is from RNAcentral.